Molecule: ribosomal RNA, 473 nt
Filed under: uncultured bacterium
Lineage: Bacteria
Description: SSU rRNA
Rfam family: Bacterial small subunit ribosomal RNA
Source: RNAcentral
AGGACGAACGCUGGCGGCGUGCUUAACACAUGCAAGUCGAGCGGAAAGGCCCUUCGGGGUACUCGAGCGGCGAACGGGUGAGUAACACGUGAGUAAUCUGCCCCUAGCUCUGGGAUAGCUCCGGGAAACCGGGAUUAAUACCAGAUACGACCACUUUAGACAUCUGUUGUGGUGGAAAGAAUUUUGGCUAGGGAUGAGCUCGCGGCCUAUCAGCUUGUUGGUGAGGUAACGGCUCACCAAGGCGACGACGGGUAGCCGGCCUGAGAGGGCGACCGGCCACACUGGGACUGAGACACGGCCCAGACUCCUACGGGAGGCAGCAGUGGGGAAUAUUGCGCAAUGGGCGAAAGCCUGACGCAGCGACGCCGGCGUGGGGGAUGAAGGCCUUCGGGUUGUAAACCCUUUCAGCAGGGACGAAGCGAAAGUGACGGUACCUGCAGAGAAGCGCCGGCUAACUACGUGCCAGCAGCCGC